AUUGAACGCUGGCGGCAGGCCUAACACACGCAAGUCGAGCGAGCGGCGGACGGGUGAGUAACGCCUGGGAAUUGACCGGUCGCGGGGGAUAACAGUUGGAAACGACUGCUAAUACCGCAUACGAUUGGAUUGCCCAGGUGGGAUUAGCUAGUUGGUGAGGUAAUGGCUCACCAGGGCGACGAUCCCUAGCUUGUCUGAGCGGAUGGUCAGCCCCACGGGAACUGAGGCACGUUCCAGACUCCUACGGGAGGCAGCGGUGGGGAAUAUUGGACAAUGGGGGAAACCCUGAUGCCGCCAUGCCGCGUGUGUGAGGGAGGCCGUCGGGUUGUAAAGCACUUUCAGCGAGGAGGCGUUACUCGCAGAGGAGGCACCGUCUAACUCCGUGCCAGCAGCCGCGGUAAUAC
This 404-nucleotide ribosomal RNA is filed under the name uncultured bacterium. RNAcentral describes it as "partial 16S ribosomal RNA". It matches the Rfam family "Bacterial small subunit ribosomal RNA", at positions 28 to 526 of the family's 1533-position model. The record is from RNAcentral.